RNAcentral lists this ribosomal RNA (1341 nucleotides) under metagenome. Its description in RNAcentral is "bacterial LSU rRNA". It matches the Rfam family "Bacterial large subunit ribosomal RNA", at positions 1597 to 2925 of the family's 2925-position model. The record is from RNAcentral.
CCACCCUGCUUCCAGGAAAAGCCUCUAAGCUUCAGUCAUAGAGUGACCGUACCGCAAACCGACACAGGUGGGCUGGUAGAGAAUACCAAGGCGCUUGAGAGAACUCAGGAGAAGGAACUCGGCAAAUUGAUACCGUAACUUCGGGAGAAGGUAUGCCCCGUUAGCUUGUAGGAGUACAUCCGAAGGGCGAAGGGGCCGCAGAGAAUCGGUGGCUGCGACUGUUUAUUAAAAACACAGCACUGUGCAAACACGAAAGUGGACGUAUACGGUGUGACGCCUGCCCGGUGCCGGAAGGUUAAGUGAUGGGGUGCAAGCUCUUGAUCGAAGCCCCGGUAAACGGCGGCCGUAACAAUAACGGUCCUAAGGUAGCGAAAUUCCUUGUCGGGUAAGUUCCGACCUGCACGAAUGGCGUAACGAUGGCCACACUGUCUCCUCCUGAGACUCAGCGAAGUUGAAAUGUUUGUGAAGAUGCAAUCUACCCGCGGCUAGACGGAAAGACCCCAUGAACCUUUACUGUAGCUUUGCAUUGGACUUUGACGGGAUUUGUGUAGGAUAGGUGGGAGGCUAUGAAACCAGGACGCUAGUUCGGGUGGAGCCAACCUUGAAAUACCACCCUGGUGUCGUCGAGGUUCUAACCCAGGUCUGUGAAUCCAGAUCGGGGACCGUGCAUGGUGGGCAGUUUGACUGGGGCGGUCUCCUCCUAAAGCGUAACGGAGGAGUACGAAGGUCACCUAGGUACGGUCGGACAUCGUACUGAUAGUGCAAUGGCAAAAGGUGGCUUGACUGCGAGACCCACAAGUCGAGCAGGUGCGAAAGCAGGUCAUAGUGAUCCGGUGGUUCUGUAUGGAAGGGCCAUCGCUCAACGGAUAAAAGGUACUCUGGGGAUAACAGGCUGAUUCCGCCCAAGAGUUCACAUCGACGGCGGAGUUUGGCACCUCGAUGUCGGCUCAUCACAUCCUGGGGCUGUAGCCGGUCCCAAGGGUAUGGCUGUUCGCCAUUUAAAGUGGUACGUGAGCUGGGUUUAAAACGUCGUGAGACAGUUUGGUCCCUAUCUGCCGUGGGCGCUGGAAGUUUGAGAGGGCUUGCUCCUAGUACGAGAGGACCGGAGUGAACGCACCCCUGGUGUACCGGUUGUGACGCCAGUCGCAUCGCCGGGUAGCUAUGUGCGGAAGAGAUAACCGCUGAAAGCAUCUAAGCGGGAAACUCGCCUCAAGAUGAGACUUCCCCGGGGCCUCGAGCCCCCUGAAGGGUCGUUGAAGACCACAACGUUGAUAGGUCGGGUGUGGAAGCGUGGCAACACGUUAAGCUAACCGAUACUAAUUGCCCGUGUGGCUUGAUCCC